Molecule: ribosomal RNA, 1433 nt
Filed under: uncultured bacterium
Lineage: Bacteria
Description: bacterial SSU rRNA
Rfam family: Bacterial small subunit ribosomal RNA
Source: RNAcentral
AGAGUUUGAUUCUGGCUCAGAACGUACGCUGGCGGCACGCCUAACACAUGCAAGUCGAACGAAGUAGCAAUACUUAGUGGCAGACGGGUGAGUAACAUGUAGGUAUCUGCCCUUUGGCCUGGAAUAACACGAGGAAACUUGUGCUAAUACCGGAUAAGUCUUUACGGAGAAAGCUUUAUGCACCAUUGGAUGAGCCUGCACUUGAUUAGUUUGUUGGUGGGGUAAUGGCCUACCAAGACUGUGAUCAAUAGCUGAUUUGAGAGGAUGAUCAGCCACAUUGGGACUGAGACACGGCCCAAACUCCUACGGGAGGCAGCAGUGGGGAAUCUUGCACAAUGGAGGAAACUCUGAUGCAGCGAUGCCGCGUGAGUGAAGAAGGCCCUUGGGUUGUAAAGCUCUUUCGUCGGGGAAGAAAAUGACUGUACCCGAAUAAGAAGGUCCGGCUAACUUCGUGCCAGCAGCCGCGGUAAUACGAAGGGACCUAGCGUAGUUCGGAAUUACUGGGCUUAAAGAGUUCGUAGGUGGUUGAAAAAGUUAGUGGUGAAAUCCCAGAGCUUAACUCUGGAACUGCCAUUAAAACUUUUCAGCUAGAGUAUGAUAGAGGAAAGCAGAAUUUCUAGUGUAGAGGUGAAAUUCGUAGAUAUUAGAAAGAAUACCAAUUGCGAAGGCAGCUUUCUGGAUCAUUACUGACACUGAGGAACGAAAGCAUGGGUAGCGAAGAGGAUUAGAUACCCUCGUAGUCCAUGCCGUAAACGAUGUGUGUUAGACGUUGGAAAUUUAUUUUCAGUGUCGCAGGGAAACCGAUAAACACACCGCCUGGGGAGUACGACCGCAAGGUUAAAACUCAAAUGAAUUGACGGGGACCCGCACAAGUAGUGGAGCAUGUGGUUUAAUUCGAAGAUACGCGCAGAACCUUACCAACACUUGACAUGUUCGUCGCGACUCUAAGAGAUUAGAGUUUUCGGUUCGGCCGGACGAAACACAGGUGCUGCAUAGCUGUCGUCAGCUCGUGUCGUGAGAUGUUGGGUUAAGUCCCGCAACGAGCGCAACCCUCACUUUUAGUUGCCAUCAUUAAGUUGGGCACUCUGAAAGAACUGCCAGUGAUAAGCUGGAGGAAGGUGGGGAUGACGUCAAGUCCUCAUGGCCCUUACGUGUUGGGCUACACACGUGCUACAAUGGUAUCUACAACAGGAAGCAAGACUGCGAAGUUAAGCAAAUCCCUAAAAGAUACCUCAGUUCGGAUUGCACUCUGCAACUCGAGUGCAUGAAGCUGGAAUUACUAGUAAUCGUGGAUCAGCGUGCCACGGUGAAUGCGUUCCCGGGUCUUGUACACACCGCCCGUCACACCAUGGGAGUUGGUUCUACCUUAAGGCAAGGUUUUAAACCCUUGACCACGGUAUAGUCAGCGACUGGGGUGAAGUCGUAACAAGGUA